Molecule: ribosomal RNA, 267 nt
Filed under: uncultured bacterium
Lineage: Bacteria
Description: partial 16S ribosomal RNA
Rfam family: Bacterial small subunit ribosomal RNA
Source: RNAcentral
GUCCACGCCCUAAACGAUGCAGACUAGCCGUCUCGAGUAUCGACCCUCGGGGUGGCGUAGCUAACGCGUUAAGUCUGCCGCCUGGGAAGUACGGCCGCAAGGCUAAAACUCAAAGGAAUAGACGGGGACUCGCACAAGCGGUGGAGCAUGUGGUUUAAUUCGACGGUAAACGAGACACCUCACCAGGGUUUGACAUGCACUUGAAAACCAGCCGAAAGGCAGGACCUCUUUUACGAGACAAGUGCACAGGUGCUGCAUGGUUGCCGU